This 1349-nucleotide ribosomal RNA is filed under the name uncultured bacterium. Its description in RNAcentral is "bacterial SSU rRNA". It matches the Rfam family "Bacterial small subunit ribosomal RNA", at positions 27 to 1381 of the family's 1533-position model. The record is from RNAcentral.
GAUUGAACGCUGGCGGCAUGCCUUACACAUGCAAGUCGAACGGUAACAGCACUUCGGUGGCUGACGAGUGGCGAACGGGUGAGUAAUACAUCGGAACGUGCCCGAGAGUGGGGGAUAACGCAGCGAAAGCUGUGCUAAUACCGCAUACGAUCUACGGAUGAAAGCAGGGGACCGCAAGGCCUUGCGCUCAUGGAGCGGCCGAUGGCAGAUUAGGUAGUUGGUGGGAUAAAAGCUUACCAAGCCGACGAUCUGUAGCUGGUCUGAGAGGACGACCAGCCACACUGGGACUGAGACACGGCCCAGACUCCUACGGGAGGCAGCAGUGGGGAAUAUUGGUCAAUGGGCGAGAGCCUGAACCAGCCAAGUCGCGUGAAGGAAGAAGGUUCUAUGGAUUGUAAACUUCUUUUGCAGGGGAAUAAAGGACGGUACGUGUACUGUUUUGUAUGUACCUUGCGAAUAAGGAUCGGCUAACUCCGUGCCAGCAGCCGCGGUAAUACGGAGGAUCCGAGCGUUAUCCGGAUUUAUUGGGUUUAAAGGGUGCGUAGGUGGAUUGUUAAGUCAGUGGUGAAAGUUUUCAGCUCAACUGAAAAAUUGCCGUUGAAACUGUCGAUCUUGAGUGCAAAUGAGGUAGGCGGAAUGUGUUGUGUAGCGGUGAAAUGCUUAGAUAUAACACAGAACUCCGAUUGCGAAGGCAGCUUACUGGGAUGCAACUGACACUGAUGCACGAAAGCGUGGGUAUCAAACAGGAUUAGAUACCCUGGUAGUCCACGCAGUAAACGAUGAAUACUAGCUGUAUGCGAUACACCGUAUGUGGCACAGCGAAAGCGUUAAGUAUUCCACCUGGGGAGUACGUUCGCAAGAAUGAAACUCAAAGGAAUUGACGGGGGCCCGCACAAGCGGAGGAACAUGUGGUUUAAUUCGAUGAUACGCGAGGAACCUUACCCGGGCUUGAAAUGCAGACGACCGACAGGGAAACUUGUCUUCCAGCAAUGGUGUCUGUGUAGGUGCUGCAUGGUUGUCGUCAGCUCGUGCCGUGAGGUGUCGGCUUAAGUGCCAUAACGAGCGCAACCCUUGCCAUUAGUUGCUAACAGGUUAAGCUGAGAACUCUAAUGGGACUGCCAUCGUAAGAUGCGAGGAAGGUGGGGAUGACGUCAAAUCAGCACGGCCCUUACGUCCGGGGCGACACACGUGUUACAAUGGGUGGUACAGAGGGUUGCUACCUGGUGACAGGAUGCUAAUCUCUUAAAUCCACUCUCAGUUCGGAUCGAAGUCUGCAACUCGACUUCGUGAAGCUGGAUUCGCUAGUAAUCGCGCAUCAGCCAUGGCGCGGUGAAUACGUUCCCGGGCCU